This 25-nucleotide non-coding RNA is filed under the name Cricetulus griseus (Chinese hamster). The record is from RNAcentral. Lineage: Eukaryota; Metazoa; Chordata; Mammalia; Rodentia; Cricetidae.
GCGGGAGAGCUAUGAAACAUGCCGG